RNAcentral lists this ribosomal RNA (484 nucleotides) under uncultured bacterium. Its description in RNAcentral is "partial 16S ribosomal RNA". It matches the Rfam family "Bacterial small subunit ribosomal RNA", at positions 30 to 507 of the family's 1533-position model. The record is from RNAcentral.
AUUGAACGCUGGCGGCAGGCCUAACACAUGCAAGUCGAGCGGAUGAAGGGAGCUUGCUCCUGGAUUCAGCGGCGGACGGGUGAGUAAUGCCUAGGAAUCUGCCUGGUAGUGGGGGAUAACGUCCGGAAACGGGCGCUAAUACCGCAUACGUCCUGAGGGAGAAAGUGGGGGAUCUUCGGACCUCACGCUAUCAGAUGAGCCUAGGUCGGAUUAGCUAGUUGGUGGGGUAAAGGCCUACCAAGGCGACGAUCCGUAACUGGUCUGAGAGGAUGAUCAGUCACACUGGAACUGAGACACGGUCCAGACUCCUACGGGAGGCAGCAGUGGGGAAUAUUGGACAAUGGGCGAAAGCCUGAUCCAGCCAUGCCGCGUGUGUGAAGAAGGUCUUCGGAUUGUAAAGAACUUUAAGUUGGGAGGAAGGGCAGUAAGUUAAUACCUUGCUGUUUUGACGGUACCAACAGAAUAAGCACCGGCUAACUUCGUG